RNAcentral lists this long non-coding RNA (562 nucleotides) under Homo sapiens (human). Its description in RNAcentral is "HSALNT0349520". The record is from RNAcentral. Lineage: Eukaryota; Metazoa; Chordata; Mammalia; Primates; Hominidae.
AGAGGGGAGGUAGAAGAAAGACAUGCCAGGGAGAGACCACAGCCUGAUGCUUUGGGAGUCUGUGUACUUGCGUGCUUACUAUGACCUAUCAAUGUGCUAACAUGAUUGCAUCUAAUCAUGACAUAAUAGUCCACAUAGUGUGGACUUGGGAGUCAGACCUACUCUGUUCAAUUGCUGUUUUGCCCUUUGCUGGUUGUACCACCUUGGGCAAGCUGAUUCACGUCUCUGAGCCUUAGUUGUCUCAUCUUUAAAGUGGAGAUGCACCUGUGCAUGGGGUGGUGUGCGGUGUAGAUGCAUUCGUGUUUGGGAUGUAGUAGCACGGUGCUGGAUUACGGUCCUAGAGAUAAACUGAUGAACAAGAAAGCAAAGUCCUUCCUUCCAUGCAGAGACAGACAACAAGCAAGGAGCCAAACAGGAUAAUGUUGGACAGUAAUUCCUUACAAUGAAGGACAUGAACAAGUGUUAAUUCGAAUGGCAGCUUCUGGGAUGGGACUUAAACACUCUGCAGUUUCUGACCUCUGUGGAAUUUGAAAAGCCAAAGGUCUAGUAAAGUAAAAAUUAG